Molecule: long non-coding RNA, 362 nt
Filed under: Zalophus californianus (California sea lion)
Lineage: Eukaryota; Metazoa; Chordata; Mammalia; Carnivora; Otariidae
Description: lncRNA (ENSZCAG00015018771.1)
Source: RNAcentral
AUUCAAGUGACCACCUUUGCAUGAACCUUCUAACUUCUUGAGCUGCCUGGUGAUUGGAGAUGAACGUUGACUGAAGCAUGGCAUCCACUUGCCCUCCGCUACUAUUGCAGAGAGAAAGGGGGUGGGUGUCCAGCCACAAGCCAGUCAGUCUGCACAAUGAUGCCAUGUUCUGAAGGAAGCCAAGUGUGCUCGGCUUUACAAGAAAUAGAUAACAUCAAGGACAUCGGGAGUGGGAGAGAUUGGACUGGGAGACUCAGCAGAUAUUUUUCUCUCUCCUGCCAAGAGGGAACCCGCUGCCUCUUUCCUGAAUUAUCCUCCUGACUGGCUUCCCUCCCUCAGUUUGUCCAUUCCAAACCAGAACU